This 465-nucleotide ribosomal RNA is filed under the name uncultured bacterium. RNAcentral's name for it is "partial 16S ribosomal RNA". It matches the Rfam family "Bacterial small subunit ribosomal RNA", at positions 338 to 795 of the family's 1533-position model. The record is from RNAcentral.
CCUACGGGCGGCAGCAGUGGGGAAUAUUGCGCAAUGGGCGAAAGCCUGACGCAGCGACGCCGCGUGAGGGAUGACGGUCUUCGGAUCGUAAAACUCUGUCAGCAGGGAAGAACGGUCACUGUGUUAAUCAGCAGUGAAUUGACGGUACCUGCAAAGGAAGCACCGGCUAACCCCGUCCCAGCAGCCGCGGUAAUACGGGGGGUGCGUGCAUUGAUUGGUUUUACUGGGCGUAAAGCGCUCGUAGGCGGUAGGUCAAGUCAAGGGUGAAAUCCCCGCGCUCAACGUGGGAACUGCGUUUGAAACUGGCAAACUGGAGUGUGUGAGAGGAGAGUGGAAUUCCAGGUGUAGGAGUGAAAUCCGUAGAUAUCAGGAGGAACAUCGGUGGCGAAGGCGACUAUCUGGCACAUAACUGACGCUGAGGAGCGAAAGCGUGGGUAGCAAACAGGAUUAGAUACCCGAGUAGUC